AUUGAACGCUGGCGGCAGGCCUAACACAUGCAAGUCGAGCGGCUGCAGGGAGCUUGCUCCUGGAUUCAGCGGCGGACGGGUGAGUAAUGCCUAGGAAUCUGCCUGGUUGUGGGGGAUAACGUCCGGAAACGGGCGCUAAUACCGCAUACGUCCAGAGGGAGAAAGUGGGGGAUCUUCGGAUCUCACGCUAUCAGAUGAGCCUAGGUCGGAUUAGCUAGUUGGCGGGGUAAAGGCCUACCAAGGCGACGAUCCGUAACUGGUUUGAGAGGAUGAUCAGUCACACUGGAACUGAGACACGGUCCAGACUCCUACGGGAGGCAGCAGUGGGGAAUAUUGGACAAUGGGCGAAAGCCUGAUCCAGCCAUGCCGCGUGUGUGAAGAAGGUCUUCGGAUUGUAAAGCACUUUAAGUUGGGAGGAAGGGCAGUAAGUUAAUACCUUGCUGUUUUGACGUUACCAACAGAAUAAGCACCGGCUAACUUCGUG
Molecule: ribosomal RNA, 484 nt
Filed under: uncultured bacterium
Lineage: Bacteria
Description: partial 16S ribosomal RNA
Rfam family: Bacterial small subunit ribosomal RNA
Source: RNAcentral